RNAcentral lists this ribosomal RNA (2926 nucleotides) under Salmonella enterica subsp. enterica serovar Manhattan. Its description in RNAcentral is "bacterial LSU rRNA". It matches the Rfam family "Bacterial large subunit ribosomal RNA". Lineage: Bacteria; Pseudomonadati; Pseudomonadota; Gammaproteobacteria; Enterobacterales; Enterobacteriaceae. The record is from RNAcentral.
GGGUUGUGAGGUUAAGCGACUAAGCGUACACGGUGGAUGCCCUGGCAGUCAGAGGCGAUGAAGGGCGUGCUAAUCUGCGAUAAGCGCCGGUAAGGUGAUAUGAACCGUUAUAACCGGCGAUACCCGAAUGGGGAAACCCAGUGUGAUUCGUCACACUAUCAUUAACUGAAUCCAUAGGUUAAUGAGGCGAACCGGGGGAACUGAAACAUCUAAGUACCCCGAGGAAAAGAAAUCAACCGAGAUUCCCCCAGUAGCGGCGAGCGAACGGGGAGGAGCCCAGAGCCUGAAUCAGCAUGUGUGUUAGUGGAAGCGUCUGGAAAGGCGCGCGAUACAGGGUGACAGCCCCGUACACAAAAGCGCAUGUGCUGUGAGCUCGAUGAGUAGGGCGGGACACGUGGUAUCCUGUCUGAAUAUGGGGGGACCAUCCUCCAAGGCUAAAUACUCCUGACUGACCGAUAGUGAACCAGUACCGUGAGGGAAAGGCGAAAAGAACCCCGGCGAGGGGAGUGAAAAAGAACCUGAAACCGUGUACGUACAAGCAGUGGGAGCACCCUUUGGGGUGUGACUGCGUACCUUUUGUAUAAUGGGUCAGCGACUUAUAUUCUGUAGCAAGGUUAACCGAAUAGGGGAGCCGGAGGGAAACCGAGUCUUAAUUGGGCGUUAAGUUGCAGGGUAUAGACCCGAAACCCGGUGAUCUAGCCAUGGGCAGGUUGAAGGUUGGGUAACACUAACUGGAGGACCGAACCGACUAAUGUUGAAAAAUUAGCGGAUGACCUGUGGCUGGGGGUGAAAGGCCAAUCAAACCGGGAGAUAGCUGGUUCUCCCCGAAAGCUAUUUAGGUAGCGCCUCGUGAAUUCAUCUCCGGGGGUAGAGCACUGUUUCGGCUAGGGGGUCAUCCCGACUUACCAACCCGAUGCAAACUGCGAAUACCGGAGAAUGUUAUCACGGGAGACACACGGCGGGUGCUAACGUCCGUCGUGAAGAGGGAAACAACCCAGACCGCCAGCUAAGGUCCCAAAGUCAUGGUUAAGUGGGAAACGAUGUGGGAAGGCCCAGACAGCCAGGAUGUUGGCUUAGAAGCAGCCAUCAUUUAAAGAAAGCGUAAUAGCUCACUGGUCGAGUCGGCCUGCGCGGAAGAUGUAACGGGGCUAAACCAUGCACCGAAGCUGCGGCAGCGACACUAUGUGUUGUUGGGUAGGGGAGCGUUCUGUAAGCCUGUGAAGGUGUGUCGUGAGGCAUGCUGGAGGUAUCAGAAGUGCGAAUGCUGACAUAAGUAACGAUAAAGCGGGUGAAAAGCCCGCUCGCCGGAAGACCAAGGGUUCCUGUCCAACGUUAAUCGGGGCAGGGUGAGUCGACCCCUAAGGCGAGGCCGAAAGGCGUAGUCGAUGGGAAACGGGUUAAUAUUCCCGUACUUGGUGUUACUGCGAAGGGGGGACGGAGAAGGCUAUGUUGGCCGGGCGACGGUUGUCCCGGUUUAAGCGUGUAGGUGUGUGUUCCAGGUAAAUCCGGUUCACUUUAACACUGAGGCGUGACGACGAGGCACUACGGUGCUGAAGCAACAAAUGCCCUGCUUCCAGGAAAAGCCUCUAAGCAUCAGGUAACAUCAAAUCGUACCCCAAACCGACACAGGUGGUCAGGUAGAGAAUACCAAGGCGCUUGAGAGAACUCGGGUGAAGGAACUAGGCAAAAUGGUGCCGUAACUUCGGGAGAAGGCACGCUGACACGUAGGUGAAGUGAUUUACUCAUGGAGCUGAAGUCAGUCGAAGAUACCAGCUGGCUGCAACUGUUUAUUAAAAACACAGCACUGUGCAAACACGAAAGUGGACGUAUACGGUGUGACGCCUGCCCGGUGCCGGAAGGUUAAUUGAUGGGGUCAGCGCAAGCGAAGCUCCUGAUCGAAGCCCCGGUAAACGGCGGCCGUAACUAUAACGGUCCUAAGGUAGCGAAAUUCCUUGUCGGGUAAGUUCCGACCUGCACGAAUGGCGUAAUGAUGGCCAGGCUGUCUCCACCCGAGACUCAGUGAAAUUGAACUCGCUGUGAAGAUGCAGUGUACCCGCGGCAAGACGGAAAGACCCCGUGAACCUUUACUAUAGCUUGACACUGAACAUUGAGCCUUGAUGUGUAGGAUAGGUGGGAGGCUUUGAAGUGUGGACGCCAGUCUGCAUGGAGCCGACCUUGAAAUACCACCCUUUAAUGUUUGAUGUUCUAACGUGGACCCGUUACCCGGGUUGCGGACAGUGUCUGGUGGGUAGUUUGACUGGGGCGGUCUCCUCCUAAAGAGUAACGGAGGAGCACGAAGGUUGGCUAAUCCUGGUCGGACAUCAGGAGGUUAGUGCAAUGGCAUAAGCCAGCUUGACUGCGAGCGUGACGGCGCGAGCAGGUGCGAAAGCAGGUCAUAGUGAUCCGGUGGUUCUGAAUGGAAGGGCCAUCGCUCAACGGAUAAAAGGUACUCCGGGGAUAACAGGCUGAUACCGCCCAAGAGUUCAUAUCGACGGCGGUGUUUGGCACCUCGAUGUCGGCUCAUCACAUCCUGGGGCUGAAGUAGGUCCCAAGGGUAUGGCUGUUCGCCAUUUAAAGUGGUACGCGAGCUGGGUUUAGAACGUCGUGAGACAGUUCGGUCCCUAUCUGCCGUGGGCGCUGGAGAACUGAGGGGGGCUGCUCCUAGUACGAGAGGACCGGAGUGGACGCAUCACUGGUGUUCGGGUUGUCAUGCCAAUGGCACUGCCCGGUAGCUAAAUGCGGAAGAGAUAAGUGCUGAAAGCAUCUAAGCACGAAACUUGCCCCGAGAUGAGUUCUCCCUGAGACUUAGAGUCUCCUGAAGGAACGUUGAAGACGACGACGUUGAUAGGCCGGGUGUGUAAGCGCAGCGAUGCGUUGAGCUAACCGGUACUAAUGAACCGUGAGGCUUAACCUUACAACGCCGAAG